GAUGAACGCUGGCGGCGUGCCUAAUACAUGCAAGUCGAGCGAACGGACGAGAAGCUUGCUUCUCUGAUGUUAGCGGCGGACGGGUGAGUAACACGUGGAUAACCUACCUAUAAGACUGGGAUAACUUCGGGAAACCGGAGCUAAUACCGGAUAAUAUUUUGAACCGCAUGGUUCAAAAGUGAAAGACGGUCUUGCUGUCACUUAUAGAUGGAUCCGCGCUGCAUUAGCUAGUUGGUAAGGUAACGGCUUACCAAGGCAACGAUGCAUAGCCGACCUGAGAGGGUGAUCGGCCACACUGGAACUGAGACACGGUCCAGACUCCUACGGGAGGCAGCAGUAGGGAAUCUUCCGCAAUGGGCGAAAGCCUGACGGAGCAACGCUGCGUGAGUGAUGAAGGUCUUCGGAUCGUAAAACUCUGUUAUUAGGGAAGAACAUAUGUGUAAGUAACUGUGCACAUCUUGACGGUACCUAAUCAGAAAGCCACGGCUAACUACGUGCCAGCAGCCGCGGUAAUACGUAGGUGGCAAGCGUUAUCCGGAAUUAUUGGGCGUAAAGCGCGCGUACGCGGUUUUUUAAGUCUGAUGUGAAAGCCCACGGCUCAACCGUGGAGGGUCAUUGGAAACUGGAAAACUUGAGUGCAGAAGAGGAAAGUGGAAUUCCAUGUGUAGCGGUGAAAUGCGCAGAGAUAUGGAGGAACACCAGUGGCGAAGGCGACUUUCUGGUCUGUAACUGACGCUGAUGUGCGAAAGCGUGGGGAUCAAACAGGAUUAGAUACCCUGGUAGUCCACGCCGUAAACGAUGAGUGCUAAGUGUUAGGGGGUUUCCGCCCCUUAGUGCUGCAGCUAACGCAUUAAGCACUCCGCCUGGGGAGUACGACCGCAAGGUUGAAACUCAAAGGAAUUGACGGGGACCCGCACAAGCGGUGGAGCAUGUGGUUUAAUUCGAAGCAACGCGAAGAACCUUACCAAAUCUUGACAUCCUUUGACAACUCUAGAGAUAGAGCCUUCCCCUUCGGGGGACAAAGUGACAGGUGGUGCAUGGUUGUCGUCAGCUCGUGUCGUGAGAUGUUGGGUUAAGUCCCGCAACGAGCGCAACCCUUAAGCUUAGUUGCCAUCAUUAAGUUGGGCACUCUAAGUUGACUGCCGGUGACAAACCGGAGGAAGGUGGGGAUGACGUCAAAUCAUCAUGCCCCUUAUGAUUUGGGCUACACACGUGCUACAAUGGACAAUACAAAGGGCAGCGAAACCGCGAGGUCAAGCAAAUCCCAUAAAGUUGUUCUCAGUUCGGAUUGUAGUCUGCAACUCGACUACAUGAAGCUGGAAUCGCUAGUAAUCGUAGAUCAGCAUGCUACGGUGAAUACGUUCCCGGGUCU
This 1372-nucleotide ribosomal RNA is filed under the name uncultured bacterium. RNAcentral describes it as "bacterial SSU rRNA". It matches the Rfam family "Bacterial small subunit ribosomal RNA", at positions 28 to 1381 of the family's 1533-position model. The record is from RNAcentral.